CUAAUGACAUGGGUUCAAAACCUAGAACAGAUGGAUGAAAUAUAGAGGCCAGUGUAUUCAAGAUUUCAGAGCUUUAGAAAACAUUAGGUUCAUGGCUAGCUUACAUUUUAUUGGUUUAGAGGCCUCUUGGCCGUAGGUUAAGAACAGGCAAACUAGUGUUUAAUCCUUUCACAUACACUCAAAUGCCUGUUGAAAUAUCUUCCCUUGAAGCCCAGUGUAGUUGCACAUGAACGGUCCAAAUACUUUAUGGUGCAAGACAGGACGGUGUUUAUUUUAAUUACUUAUAUCACUGUUUAUUUAUUUAUUUUGAAGUAUAUUUAUUUAUGAACUCAUUUUUUUGUCCUCCAUUGUAUCACUGCCACUGUACAGCGAGUUCAUCCAAACCGAACUCCUGUUCUACUCUGCGCUCUUGGCAACACAAUCUGCUUCUACAGAAGGAAACAGCGCUUCUUCCAGUGACAACAGCAUUUUGCAUAACAAAAGAGGAGGAAAUGGGAAAGAUGGAGGAAGGAGGCACGGACACAGAGGAAGCUCUCUACGAUUACAUCUGAUGGUCAGCCGUCGCUUUAAGCCACGAAGGGAAAAAGAAAUCUUCAACUUGACAGCGAAAGGUCACGGGAAAAGGAUGAGGUGGCGCCUCGCGACGCCGCCUUGAUCAUGGAGGAGCAUGAAAAGUGGUGGAUAAAGAUCUCAAGGCAUCGGGAAGCAACCGCACAGCUGUGUUCUGUAAGAAGAGCUUCUCUACCUCUAGAUACAAAAGCACAUACUGUAUACAGUACUGUAUGUGGAGAGAAUCAUAGUGGAAGUUAUGCUUGACCAUUCACAUCAUGAGGAAGUGGGCGCUUCCUAAAACUAACUGAAUUCUUAAAAAGAGCUUUUGCUGUUUGUUUAUCUCUGCUGAAAAGCCAAUGUAUUUGCAGCCUCAUGCAUUAAAACUAGCUUCCACAAAAUAAACAAAGAAAUAAUAAUAAAAUUACAAAUUAUGCUUAUUGGAGAAGAAAGGCCAAAUUUUCUAAUGUUUUCAUGAACGUGAGA
Betta splendens (Siamese fighting fish) is the source of this 1035-nucleotide long non-coding RNA. RefSeq lists it as uncharacterized. NCBI's taxonomy places the organism in Eukaryota, Metazoa, Chordata, Actinopteri, Anabantiformes, Osphronemidae. The record is from RefSeq and is a predicted model, not a curated record. The transcript is spliced from 3 exons.